CCUACGGGAGUCAGCAGUGAGGAAUAUUGGUCAAUGGCCGGAAGGCUGAACCAGCCAUGCCGCGUGAAGGUCAGUGCCCUAUGGGCGUUAAACUUCUUUUGUGCGGGAGCAAUAAUGGUCACGUGUGGCCAGACGAGAGUACCGUACGAAUAAGCAUCGGCUAACUCCGUGCCAGCAGCCGCGGUAAUACGGGGGAUGCAAGCGUUAUCCGGAUUUAUUGGGUUUAAAGGGUGCGUAGGCUGUGAGGUAAGUCAGCGGUGAAAUGCCCCCGCUCAACGGGGUGAAGUGCCAUUGAUACUGUCUGGCUGGAAUGCGGAUGCCGUGGGAGGAAUGUGUGGUGUAGCGGUGAAAUGCAUAGAUAUCACACAGAACACCGAUUGCGAAGGCAUCUCACGAAUCCGCGAUUGACGCUGAUGCACGAAAGCGUGGGUAUCAAACAGGAUUAGAUACCCCUGUAGUC
This 460-nucleotide ribosomal RNA is filed under the name uncultured bacterium. Its description in RNAcentral is "partial 16S ribosomal RNA". It matches the Rfam family "Bacterial small subunit ribosomal RNA", at positions 338 to 795 of the family's 1533-position model. The record is from RNAcentral.